This 467-nucleotide ribosomal RNA is filed under the name uncultured bacterium. RNAcentral's name for it is "partial 16S ribosomal RNA". It matches the Rfam family "Bacterial small subunit ribosomal RNA", at positions 28 to 507 of the family's 1533-position model. The record is from RNAcentral.
GACGAACGCUGGCGGCGUGCUUAACACAUGCAAGUCGGGGGGCGGGGUAAUCCGUCCCCGGCGAUCGGGUGCGGAACACGUGAGCGACCUGCCCUGGUGUGGGGGAUAGCCGGUCCAACGGCCGGGUAAUACCGCAUACGGCGCCCGCUCCGCAUCGGGAGUCGAAGCUCGCACGAGGCGCUAUGAGGGGCUGGCCGCCUGUCAGCUCGUUGGUGCGGUAACGGCGCAGCGAGGCGAUGACGGGUAGAUGGCCUGAGAGGAUGGCCAGUCACAUUGGGACGGAGAGACGGCCCAGGCUAGUCCGGGAGGCGGAAGAGGGGACUAUUGCGGAAUGGGCGAAAGAGUGACGCAGCGACGGCGAGGGAAGGAUGAGGGCCUUAGGGGUGUAAAGUCGUGUUGGACGAGAAGAAUGCCACGCAUCGGCGGGGUUGACGGUACCGGGUGAGGAAGCACCGGCUAACUCUGUG